GAAAUGCGAUAAGUAGUGUGAAUUGCAGAAUUCAGUGAAUCAUCGAAUCUUUGAACGCACAUUGCGCCCCUUGGUAUUCCAUGGGGCAUGCCUGUUCGAGCGUCAUUUGUACCCUCAAGCUCUGCUUGGUGUUGGGUGUUUGUCCCGUCUCCGCGCGUGGACUCGCCCCAUAGUGAUUGGCAGCCGGCGUACUGGUCCCGGAGCGCAGCACAUGUCGCGCAAACGAGUGCCUUGGUACGGCGGCGUCCAUAAGCCCCUCUCUCACGCUCUUGACCUCGGAUCAGGUAGGGAUACCCGCUGAACUUAAGC
This 309-nucleotide unclassified non-coding RNA is filed under the name plant metagenome. Its description in RNAcentral is "partial contains 5.8S ribosomal RNA, internal transcribed spacer 2, and large subunit ribosomal RNA". The stretch from base 1 to 105 matches the Rfam family "5.8S ribosomal RNA", at positions 50 to 154 of the family's 154-position model. The record is from RNAcentral.